UACGAAGGGGGCUAGCGUUGUUCGGAAUUACUGGGCGUAAAGGGCGCGUAGGCGGUUUGCUAAGUUGAAUGUGAAACUCUGGGCUUAACCCAGAGCCUGCAUUCAAUACUGGCAGGCUAGAGUUCUGGAGGGGAUAGCGGAAUUCCUGGUGUAGCGGUGAAAUGCGUAGAUAUCAGGAGGAACACCGGUGGCGAAGGCGGCUAUCUGGACAGAGUCUGACGCUGAGGCGCGAAAGCUAGGGGAGCAAACAGG
Molecule: ribosomal RNA, 252 nt
Filed under: uncultured bacterium
Lineage: Bacteria
Description: partial 16S ribosomal RNA
Rfam family: Bacterial small subunit ribosomal RNA
Source: RNAcentral